Molecule: ribosomal RNA, 253 nt
Filed under: uncultured bacterium
Lineage: Bacteria
Description: partial 16S ribosomal RNA
Rfam family: Bacterial small subunit ribosomal RNA
Source: RNAcentral
UACGAAGGGGGCUAGCGUUGUUCGGCCUCACAGGGCGUAAAGCGCACGUAGGCGGAUUGUUAAGUCAGGGGUGAAAUCCCGAGGCUCAACCUCGGAACUGCCUUUGAUACUGGCGAUCUAGAGUCCGGGAGAGGUGAGUGGAACUGCGAGUGUAGAGGUGAAAUUCGUAGAUAUUCGCAAGAACACCAGUGGCGAAGGCGGCUCACUGGCCCGGAACUGACGCUGAGGUGCGAAAGCGUGGGGAGCAAACAGG